CUGUCUGCUAAAUAGUGUUCGCUUCUCUUAUUGAGCGAACAAUUCUUCUUAGAGGGACUGGCGACUCAUAGUCGCACGAGAUUGAGCAAUAACAGGUCUGUGAUGCCCUUAGAUGUUCUGGGCCGCACACGCGCUACACUGAAUAGAUCAGCGUGUUCUCCCUUCCCGAGAGGGACGGGUAAACCGCUGAACCCUAUUCGUGGUAGGGAUCGGGGCUUGCAAUUAUUCCCCGUGAACCAGGAAUUCCCAGUAGGCGCAAGUCAUAAGCUUGCGUCGAUUACGUCCCUGCCGUUUGUACACACCGCCCGUCGCUACUACCGAUUGAACGUUUUAGUGAGGUCCUCAGACUGUUUGCUUGGCGGAUUACUCUGCCUGGCUGGCGGGAAGACGACCAAACUGUAGCGUUUAGAGGAAGUAAAAGUCGUAACAAGGU
Molecule: ribosomal RNA, 433 nt
Filed under: Canthocalanus pauper
Lineage: Eukaryota; Metazoa; Arthropoda; Copepoda; Calanoida; Calanidae
Description: SSU rRNA
Rfam family: Eukaryotic small subunit ribosomal RNA
Source: RNAcentral